Small nuclear RNA from Mesocricetus auratus (golden hamster), 107 nucleotides. Lineage: Eukaryota; Metazoa; Chordata; Mammalia; Rodentia; Cricetidae. The record is from Ensembl.
GUGCUCGAUUUGGCAGCACAUAUACUAAAAUUGGAAUGAUACAGAGAAGAUUAGCAUGGACCCUGCGCAAGAAUGACAUGCAAAUUUGUGAAGCAUUCCAUAUUGUU